GAUGAACGCUGGCGGCGUGCCUAAUACAUGCAAGUCGAGCGAACAGACGAGGAGCUUGCUCCUCUGACGUUAGCGGCGGACGGGUGAGUAACACGUGGAUAACCUACCCAUAAGACUGGGAUAACUUCGGGAAACCGGAGCUAAUACCGGAUAAUAUAUUGAACCGCAUGGUUCAAUAGUGAAAGACGGUUUUGCUGUCACUUAUAGAUGGAUCCGCGCCGCAUUAGCUAGUUGGUAAGGUAACGGCUUACCAAGGCAACGAUGCGUAGCCGACCUGAGAGGGUGAUCGGCCACACUGGAACUGAGACACGGUCCAGACUCCUACGGGAGGCAGCAGUAGGGAAUCUUCCGCAAUGGGCGAAAGCCUGACGGAGCAGCGCCGCGUGAGUGAUGAAGGUCUUCGGAUCGUAAAACUCUGUUAUUAGGGAAGAACAAAUGUGUAAGUAACUAUGCACGUCUUGACGGUACCUAAUCAGAAAGCCACGGCUAACUACGUG
This 497-nucleotide ribosomal RNA is filed under the name uncultured bacterium. RNAcentral describes it as "partial 16S ribosomal RNA". It matches the Rfam family "Bacterial small subunit ribosomal RNA", at positions 28 to 507 of the family's 1533-position model. The record is from RNAcentral.